UCAAAGGCUCUUCAAAUCCCGGGAAUGCAGAGCCACCAUUACUUCAAAGAAGAUGCAG
This is a non-coding RNA of Canis lupus familiaris (dog), 58 nucleotides long. The record is from Rfam. Lineage: Eukaryota; Metazoa; Chordata; Mammalia; Carnivora; Canidae.